This 74-nucleotide transfer RNA is filed under the name Enteractinococcus coprophilus. RNAcentral's name for it is "tRNA-Gly". It matches the Rfam family "tRNA". Rfam says of the family: Transfer RNA (tRNA) molecules are approximately 80 nucleotides in length. Lineage: Bacteria; Bacillati; Actinomycetota; Actinomycetes; Micrococcales; Micrococcaceae. The record is from RNAcentral. RNAcentral also lists the same sequence under 2 other names.
GCGGGUGUAGCUCAAUGGUAGAGCGCUUGCUUCCCAAGCAAGAUACGCGGGUUCGAUUCCCGUCACCCGCUCCA